This 857-nucleotide long non-coding RNA is filed under the name Ananas comosus (pineapple). Its description in RNAcentral is "long non-coding RNA (ACOM_LNC023245)". The record is from RNAcentral. Lineage: Eukaryota; Viridiplantae; Streptophyta; Magnoliopsida; Poales; Bromeliaceae.
UCUUUUUGAAAAAAAGGAUAGAAUUUAUAGAAUUCUAAGGCCCCGUUUGGUUGGGGGAUAAGCGGGAAUAACGAAAGUUAUCCCCGCUAUUCCGCCAAACGGGAUAAAAUUUAGCCGAAAUAUUUUAUCCCAGUCAAACCUUGCUAUUCCCGGUUAUCCCGGAAUAGCAAGGAAUUUGCUAUUCCACCAUUUUGGUGGAAUAGCACUAUUCCAAUGCUUAAUUUCAAACUUAAUUACAAUUAUAAAUUGAAUUAAAACUAAAUUAUAUAAAUAUAAUAUGUUAUAUAUUAUAAUACAAUAUUUUUAUUAUUUUUAUUAAUUGUUUCCAUCCCUAUUCUUAUUUUAAAAAUUUUAAAAUUAAAAAUUUAAAUUGUUAAAAUUUAUAAUUUAUAAUCUCAAAAUUAAAGUUUAUAAUUUUAAAUUUUAAAUUUUAAAAUUAAAUUUUGAUAUUUUAAUUUUGAAAUUUAAAAUUUUAUAUUUUAUAUUUUUCAAAUUUAAAUUUGAUCUUAAAUUUAAAGUUUGAAAUUUAAAAUUUAAAAUUUUGAAAAUUCAAAGUUAAAAUUUUAAAUUUAAAAAUAUAUAUUUAAAAUUUUAAAAAUUUAAAUUUAAAUAUAAUAAGAGAAUAAUAUAAUUAUUUUUUAUUUAUAAAACCCACUAUCUUUCUUAUUCCAUUUUACCUAACAAAACGCUAUUUUUUUUAUUCCCAGGAAUAAUUUAAUUUUUAUCCAAAUGCAAAAUUGGUCUAAUCCCCGCUUAUACCUUAAUUUAUACCUAUCCCUGAAAUAGUCACUUUUUUCUUAUCCUCAAACAAAACGAUACCUUAAAAGUAUAAAAUUAAUAGGUUUUCGAAACUAGAG